AUGUAAUAAAUUUCUCUUAUAAGCUAAAAGGAAGUGGCCAAUGGGAAAAAAGGCAGUGGCAACCUAUUUUUUUUUUUUAAUUUAUUGCCUUUAAAAAACGUAUUAUUUUCAAAAUAGUCACUUUUUUUUUUUUUUUUGGUCUUUUUAGGGCCACAUCCACAGCAUGUGAAAGUUCCUAGGCUAGGGGUUGUAUCAGAGCUACAGCUGCUGGCCUACCCCACAGUCACAGCAAUGGAAGAUCCGAGCCACGUCCAUGACCUACACCACAGCUCAUGGCAACUCCAGAUUCUUUAACCCACGUCCUCAUGGAUACUAUUUGGGUUUGUUACUGCUGAGCCACAAUGGGAACUCCAAAAUAGUCACUUCUUUAGCUAAAAAAUAAUAUAGUUUAUGAUACACAUAAUUACAUGCUGCUAAAUUUGGCACUGUGUAUGAGGGUAUGUAUGUAAGUUGUGUUAUAUAUGAAGCCUUCAGAUAAUGCUCCAAAGAGACAGUUAAGUCUCACACCACUGUUACUCUGCUUCUUGGAUUUUGACAAAGGUGACCAAAGUUCCAGUCUCAGAAUAAUGAUGUACCGUAAAAGCCCCUACCACAGUUGGCCAUGAGAUGCGUAUUGGUUCUACCCUCUAGAUCACUUACAAAGGAGGCCCCAUCUCUUUUAAAAGUUUGCAUUCCUGGUUUGCAUUGAAAAGGUAGCAUUUCAUAAUCUUGAAUACUCCCCAAAUUUGGAACUCUGAUUUUGUUCAGACCAUAUUUGAAUGCAUCUAUGAAAUUACUUCAGUUUUCUUAAAGUAAUAAUUAUAGAUACUCAGAUUAAAAUGGGAUAUGCAACUUAUUUUCCAGAGGAGGGAAAAUGGCAUCAUUAAAAUACAAUGAUUUGAAAAACAAAAUAUGCUCAACUUGGUUGUUGAGUAGUUUUGAUUUACUAGUCAGUGUAAUUUAUUUUACAGAUUUCAUGGAAAAUAAAAAUGCAAACUUGAGUUUUUUUCAGGUAUAUUUUAAAUUUUUAGCUUCUGAUUCCACCCCCCUACUCUGCGACCAAAUUUAAAGAGGUGGACCUAUACUUUCUAAUACUGUUAUUCUACUGUCUCCAUUAAAAUAUUGUAAUUAGUUUCUUCAACGCUGUCAAAGUACCCAAAUGGCACAAGUAUUCUAAAGUGCAUUAUUGGAUCUUAAGGCUAUAUUUAUAAUAGGUAUUAACACAAAACAAUAAAGCUGACCACAGGAAAGAUUACUUUUAAUAGUUGGGAUAGAUUUCAAUAGUUGGGAUAGAUAAAUAUGAGAGGCUAAGCAUACAAUCCAAUGGGAAGACUCACAGGAAGGCAUAUGCAUAGCUUGCUUACAAAAUUCAAAUAUAAAAUGGCAUUUGGCAUGAAUCUUUAAAUUUUGGUACUUAAUGAAGUAUGCCAAUUAAUAAUAUAUAGGCC
This 1427-nucleotide long non-coding RNA is filed under the name Sus scrofa (pig). RNAcentral describes it as "lncRNA (ENSSSCG00005028261.1)". Lineage: Eukaryota; Metazoa; Chordata; Mammalia; Artiodactyla; Suidae. The record is from RNAcentral.